RNAcentral lists this ribosomal RNA (498 nucleotides) under uncultured bacterium. Its description in RNAcentral is "partial 16S ribosomal RNA". It matches the Rfam family "Bacterial small subunit ribosomal RNA", at positions 28 to 507 of the family's 1533-position model. The record is from RNAcentral.
GACGAACGCUGGCGGCAUGCCUAACACAUGCAAGUCGAACGGAGAUUACUUCGGUAAUCUUAGUGGCGAACGUGUGAGUAACGCGUGUGCAACCUGCCCUCUAGAUGCGGACAGCAUCCCGAACUGGGUGCUAAUACCGUAUGUGACAGCAAUCUCGCAUGCGGUUGCUUUGACAGAUGGCCUCUUUUUUUAAUCUAUCGCUAGAGGAUUAGCCUGCGUCUGAUUGGCUAGUUGGGGGGGUAACUGCCUACCAAGGCGAGGAUCAGUAGCCGGUCUGAGAGGAGGAGAGGCAAAAUUGGGACUGAGACACGGUCCAGACUACUAGGGGAGGGAGCAGUGGGGAAUCCUCAGCAAUGGGAGAAAGCGUGACGGAGCAAUGCCGGGUGAGUGAUGAAGGAAUUAGUGCCGUAAAGCUGUUGUGGGUAUGACGAUUGUAAAGAUUGUAAAUAAUAAUUGGUAAUGACGGUAGUAAACGAAUAAGCUACGGCUAACUACGUG